Molecule: long non-coding RNA, 560 nt
Filed under: Mytilus galloprovincialis (Mediterranean mussel)
Lineage: Eukaryota; Metazoa; Mollusca; Bivalvia; Mytilida; Mytilidae
Source: RNAcentral
GGGUGCUGGAAGAAGGACUUGUGUCUUGCGCAGCAUAGUCCUUUGACAACAUUUCUAUAUAGAUACAAAAUAGUAUACGCAGAGGUAUCCUGUUUCCUGUAUCCUGCUUCUAUUCGAAACGAACAGAUACUUAAAAUCAUUGUUUAUGUUGCAGUCUACUUAGGGUCACAUUAAAAUAAUGUCAAUUUUAUUGAAAAUUAACGUCGGUAAAAUAGAGGUAUUUGUAACUUAUGUGACGACGUAAGGGGGGUGUUCAUAGUAGUGUGUAGCUACGUAUACACAAAUUAUCACAAUAUCAAUGCGCCCGAAUUGUUAAAAAAAUCAUUUAACAGGACAUACAGUAUUUUGUGACACAUAAACGACUUUUUUUAAGUAAUUAUUACGUGGUUGGUCUUUUACAUUUAGAAACAAUCACUUAAUUAAGCCUGUCGGUAAAUUAUAACCAAGCCUAUCACAUAUUUUAUACCUUAGCAUAUGUAUAUACUAGCUUUUGCAAAAAAAAAGAGACUAUUUUUUCUAAGUCCAUGCACUUUAAUCCCCUAACCUAUGGUCCAUUGCAU